UCGUUAGUUAUUGUUUUUCGUAGUUUGCGUCUUUUGUUUUUUGUGUCACUAAGUGUUUUGCAGGAAUUCAUCACCUUCACGCAGGCGAAAUCAACAAAGAAAUGGCGUUUCAUGUAAGUUUUCCUGUUCAGAAAGAAAGUUUGAAAAGGUUUGGGAAUCAUUGAGAAAAGUUUUUAAGGUUUAAAAUCUGCAGAUACAACAAUUUGUCUGUGAACUGGUGCUUCUCACGGGGCACGAGAGACAUAGGGUCUCCUUUCGCGGCCCGCCAAAACAUAAAACAAUCCGGACACUUUUACUCGGUCGUGGGGUUCUCCUUUCGCGGCCCUCGAGAGCGUUACGAAACACAUCUGCAGUGUUUACUUCCCAACUUAACCACUUUUUGACCUAAUCCCUUUCCUUCUUCACCGUCGGCGACCCAUGAAAAACCCACAAAUCACCACCGAAAGCCACCGUAAACCACCACAACUCACUUAAAAUCAUCAUACACAACCGUCGUUCAAUCAGUAAUCAGCCAUCUUAACAUCUUCUUUCAUCCAUUUUCACAAGAUUAAGUGUGGGAUUUCAAGUGUUUGCCAUUUUCUUCAUAAAAUUUCUGCUUAACUCGACAAAAAGGAUGUCAGGCGAAGGUUCGUCUUCUGUGCUGGCGGUAGAAAAAGAAGCCCGAGUACACGUUUGAGGGAUACGGGUGAAACUCAGCCUGUACCACCCGAUUCUAGAACACGGCAGAUUCAGUAUAGAUCGGAGGGUGUUCCGCAUGGGCAGAGUAUGCGGCUGCAAGACAGCCCGAUGUUACAGUUUACUGUGGGUCGAACGAGUAUGCUAGGUUGCAGGGGUUGAUUUCGGUAGGUCUGCUACCAUACCGUCGGAUUGAUUGGGAAAUGGUAGGCCAUCUGGGCCAGCGAGAGAGGAUUGAGCAGUUGCUGGGGGAGAAGUUCAGUUUGCUUUUAGAUUGUGACGCUCCUCAGUAUAAGGAGCUUACCUUAGAGUUCCACUCGACGUUUGAAUACAGGUAUCAGGGGGUUUUGAGGAAAAGGAUACGGUCUCGUUUGCGUUGGGUAGGAAAGUGUAUGAGAUGACGAUACCACAGUUUGCAGUGGCGCCAAUUUACCGAUUCAUACAUAAGAUUUUGGCAGCGACACUAGUAGGUAGACAUCAGGGGGAUAAUAAGGUUAAUCAACAAAGUUUGUUUUGUCUGAUGUGUAUGAUUGAGGGGUGGCCAGCAAAUCUGGCGAGUGUGUUUGCUUGGUCCAUGAAUAGGCCAUGGAGAGGAGGACCGGAGGCCCGGAUGUAUUGCGGGCCAUAUGUUACGUGGUUAGCGGAGAGCCUCGGGGUGUUUACUACUUACCCGCGAGAGAGGAUGAGAGAGGGCCCGGUUCCGUGCUUGAUGAGUUUGAAGGAUCUUCAGUCUGCGGGCAUCAUUACUUAUGAUCAGCCGCCUACUUGGUCAGAGAUGAGACAGGGUCCACAGGUGCCGCCACCACCAGGGUCUGGUGCAGUUGCUUCUAUGUAGGUUGCGAUACCACCUCGUUAUCAGGUGCCGCUUACUCGUUAUGAUCUACCACGAUGUCAGUAUCCGCUAAGAGAGCCUCGCCCAGACCCAUUGACUUUGGAUUCUCUGUACGAUAGGGUAGAGAAUUUACAUGGGUACGUGGACGAGCAGUUUGUCGGUAUGAGGCAGGUGAUGGAGGAUAGUAGAUUAUCACAUGAGUAGGGCAUGAGGUGUAUUGAGGAUGGCAUGCGGGUUAUUAUGGAAGGUCUUCGUUUAGGAGUCCCAUCGUCUUGGCAGCCACAACAGUAGGCUGGACCCAGUGGUAUGGAGGGGGUUCAGCAAUCUCAUGUUAAGCAGGGAUCCGAUGAAGAGGAGGAGUAGGUUGAUGAUACAGCAGCAGUUCGAGAUUGAUAUCUUUUGUUUUCUUUUUAUGUUGUUUUCAUCUAUUUUGGUAUGUAUGAUAUUUUAAAUACUUUGACAGGUGGUUGGGAUGGGUUGGUACUUGGUAGUAUGUUUUGGAUGAUUUGUGAA
Long non-coding RNA from Helianthus annuus (common sunflower), 2020 nucleotides. RefSeq lists it as uncharacterized. The record is from RefSeq and is a predicted model, not a curated record. The transcript is spliced from 2 exons. Lineage: Eukaryota; Viridiplantae; Streptophyta; Magnoliopsida; Asterales; Asteraceae.